Molecule: ribosomal RNA, 422 nt
Filed under: uncultured bacterium
Lineage: Bacteria
Description: bacterial SSU rRNA
Rfam family: Archaeal small subunit ribosomal RNA
Source: RNAcentral
CUACGGGAGGCAGCAGUCGCGAAAACUUCGCAAUGGGGGAAACCCCGACGAGGGAAUUCCAAGUGCUAGCACUUUGUGUUAGCUGUUCUUCUGUCUAAAAAACAGGAGAAGUAAGGGGCGGGUAAGACGGGUGCCAGCCGCCGCGGUAAUACCCGCGCCCCGAGUGGUGGUCGAUAUUAUUGAGCCUAAAACGUCCGUAGCCGGUCUUCUAAAUCCUUGGGUAAAUCGGGCAGCUUAACUGUCCGAAUUCCGGGGAGACUGGGAGACUUGGGACCGGGAGAGGUCAGAGGUACUUCUGGGGUAGGGGUAAAAUCCUGUAAUCCUGGAAGGACCACCGGUGGCGAAGGCGUCUGACUAGAACGGAUCCGACGGUGAGGGACGAAGCCCUGGGGCGCAAACGGGAUUAGAAACCCUAGUAGUCC